AUUUCCCUCAGGAUAGCAGGAACCUAGCAGUUUUACCGGGUAAAGCGAAUGAUUAGAGGGCCGGGAGUUGCAACAACUUCCACCUAUUCUCAAACUUUGAAUUGGUAAGCGCUGCAGUUGCUUAGUUGAACUGCAGCACGAAUGCGGGUUCCUAGUGGGCCAUUUUUGGUAAGCAGAACUGGCGAUGAGGGCUGAACCUAACGCGAGGAUAAGG
Molecule: ribosomal RNA, 214 nt
Filed under: Ditylum brightwellii
Lineage: Eukaryota; Bacillariophyta; Thalassiosirophyceae; Lithodesmiales; Lithodesmiaceae
Description: partial Eukaryotic large subunit ribosomal RNA
Rfam family: Eukaryotic large subunit ribosomal RNA
Source: RNAcentral